GCUGAGGAAAAGUCUGACUGACCGCUCCAUAAAACCUGCAUAGCUGCUGGUAAGGUACUGACGGCUCAUAAAUACUUCACAGAACAUCAGUUAGGAAAUCUGAGCCAGGCCUCCACCACAUUAUUCAUAAUUUACGCCCCUCAGUAACACAACAUGAGGUCAAUGUUGCUGUAUUUGUUCUGCAUGAAGAGAUCAUUUUAAACAUCCUGGGGGCAUCCGGCCGUCCAAUCCGAGCGGAGCUGAGUUUACAGCUGCUGGACCUGCAGGAUGUUCCGCGGCUCUCCUGUUCGCUCUCAGGUGUAAAUCUCCCUCUGGGUUCUGGCUGCAGGUGUACAGACAGCAGGAAUAUUUUUAGAUGGGCUCACCUGUCAGACUGAUUUAUAAUGAAAACCUUCAGAAGCGAUGAGUCGGUCCAAACAGACCUCAGCAGGAAAACUCAGAUCCGUCCUGUUAACAAGCUGCGACUUCCAGCCCUGUGAUGCUAAUGUGCUGCGGCAGGGCAGCGGCGCUUUAGCGCUGCGCUCAGUCCGCCCCAAAUGUUCAACUCAUUAAGCAUGAAUCCACACGCCACGCUGCGCGCCACCCAGACAUUCCUGCAGCGCUUCCUGCGCCUCCAACUCGGGAUGCUAACGGCUUUUAGCUAAUAGCUCGGAUGUUCAUGGCUUGGAGCUAAGUGUGGGAUGCUAAGGGCUUUUAGCUAAUGGCUCGGAUGCUCAUGGCUGGGAGCUAAGUGUGGGAUGCUAAUGGCUUUCAGCUAACAGCUUGGAUGCUAACAGCUUUUAGCUAACGGCUCGGAUGCUCAUGGCUGGCAGC
Molecule: long non-coding RNA, 813 nt
Organism: Poecilia latipinna (sailfin molly)
Lineage: Eukaryota; Metazoa; Chordata; Actinopteri; Cyprinodontiformes; Poeciliidae
Exons: 2
Source: RefSeq, a predicted model, not a curated record